Molecule: ribosomal RNA, 468 nt
Filed under: uncultured bacterium
Lineage: Bacteria
Description: partial 16S ribosomal RNA
Rfam family: Bacterial small subunit ribosomal RNA
Source: RNAcentral
GACGAACGCUGGCGGCGUGCUUAACACAUGCAAGUCGAACGGCAACGCCCUGCUUGCGUGGGGUGAUCGAGUGGCGAACGGGUGAGUAACACGUGAGUAACCUGCCCUUGACUUUGGGAUAACUUCAGGAAACUGGGGCUAAUACCGGAUAGGAUCUCCCGUUGCAUGGUGGGGGUUGGAAAGUCUCGGCGGUUGGGGAUGGACUGGCGGCUUAUCAGCUUGCUGGUGGGGUAGUGGCUUACCAAGGCAGUGACGGGUAGCCGGCAGGGGAGGGUGACCGGGCACAAUGGGACUGAGGUACGGCCCAGACUCCUACGGGAGGCAACAGUGGGGAAUAUUGCACAAUGGGCGGAAGCGUGAUGCAGCGACGCCGCGUGCGGGAUGACGGCCUUCGGGUUGUAAACCGCUUUCGCCUGUGACGAAGCGUGAGUGACGGUAAUGGGUAAAGAAGCACCGGCUAACUACGUG